This 498-nucleotide ribosomal RNA is filed under the name Triticum aestivum (bread wheat). RNAcentral describes it as "partial small subunit ribosomal RNA". The record is from RNAcentral. Lineage: Eukaryota; Viridiplantae; Streptophyta; Magnoliopsida; Poales; Poaceae.
AUGGGGUUUCACAAGCUAAACGAGGCACUCCUCAUCCUGCUACCCAGGAGACAGGAUGCAUCCACACUCGCGCACUACCGACCAAUCAGCCUUAUACACCUCAUUGCCAAGCUCUUCGCCAAAGUUCUCUUCCUCCGGCUUGCGCCGAGUCUUCGGGAUAUGGUGUCUAUGAACCAAAGCGCGUUCAUCGUCGGAAGAAGCGCGCACGACAGUUUUCUUCUCGUCCAGCAGAUGGCCCGGCUCCUCCACAACCUCAAGGCACCACGCAUACUUCUCAAACUUGACAUCACCAAGGCGUUUGACACGGUGGCAUGGCCAUUCCUCCUCGAGACGCUUCGACACCUUGGUUUUGGCAGGCGUUGGUGCGAGUGGAUAUUGAUCCUCCUCUCCACCGCUUCCACUCGAGUUCUCGUCAACGGCACCCUCGGCCACCAAUUGCUCACGCCCAGGGACUGCGUCAAGGAGAUCUGGUGUCGCCCAUGCUGUUCACCUUGGUGA